CCCUGCUUCACUGGCACCAUAAAGAUGCUGGAAAAUGCAGAUACAAUUAGCAUGGCCUCUGCACAAGCAUGACAUGAAUAUUUGCAAAGCAUUCCUUCUAUUU
Small nuclear RNA from Gopherus flavomarginatus (Mexican gopher tortoise), 103 nucleotides. The record is from RefSeq and is a predicted model, not a curated record. Lineage: Eukaryota; Metazoa; Chordata; Testudines; Testudinidae.